ACCAAGCUUAUCGAUACCGUCCAAGAAAAGCCGCUAUUGUGAUACACAUACCCGUACCGUAAACCGACACAGGUGGAUGAGGAGAGAAUCCUAAGGCCGACGGAAGAAGCAUUGUUAAGGAACUCGGCAAAAUGACCCCGUAACUUCGGGAGAAGGGGUGCCAACGAGAGUUGGCCGCAGAGAAUAGGCUCAAGCAACUGUUUAGCAAAAACACAGGUCUAUGCAAAACCGAAAGGUGAGGUAUAUGGGCUGACGCCUGCCCGGUGCUGGAAGGUUAAGAGGAGAGGUUAGCGCAAGCGAAGCUUUGAAUUUAAGCCCCAGUAAACGGCGGCCGUAACUAUAACGGUCCUAAGGUAGCGAAAUUCCUUGUCGGGUAAGUUCCGACCCGCACGAAAGGCGUAAUGAUUUGAGCACUGUCUCGACAAUGCAUCCGGUGAAAUUGAAGUACCAGUGAAGAUGCUGGUUACCUGCGCCAGGACGGAAAGACCCCAUGGAGCUUUACUCCAGCUUGAUACUGGGAUUCGAUACUGUAUGUACAGGAUAGGUGGGAGACGUUGAACAUAGAACGCCAGUUUUAUGUGAGUCGCUGUUGGGAUACCACCCUUGCAGUAUUGGAUUUCUAACCUGCAGCCAUGACCUGGCUGGGGGACAAUGUCUGGCGGGGAGUUUGACUGGGGCGGUCGCCUCCGAAAGGGUAUCGGAGGCGCUCAAAGGUUCCCUCAGAAUGGUUGGAAACCAUUCGAAGAGUGCAAAGGCAGAAGGGAGCUUGACUGCGACACCGACGGGUGGAGCAGGUACGAAAGUAGGACUUAGUGAUCCGGUGGUAUAAAGUGGGAUUGCCAUCGCUCAACGGAUAAAAGCUACCCUGGGGAUAACAGGCUUAUCACUCCCAAGAGUUCACAUCGACGGAGUGGUUUGGCACCUCGAUGUCGGCUCAUCGCAUCCUGGGGCUGUAGCAGGUCCCAAGGGUUGGGCUGUUCGCCCAUUAAAGCGGUACGCGAGCUGGGUUCAGAACGUCGUGAGACAGUUCGGUCCCUAUCUGUCGUGGGCGCAGGAUAUUUGAGACCUCGAGGGGGGG
This 1078-nucleotide ribosomal RNA is filed under the name human gut metagenome. RNAcentral describes it as "bacterial LSU rRNA". It matches the Rfam family "Bacterial large subunit ribosomal RNA", at positions 1588 to 2680 of the family's 2925-position model. The record is from RNAcentral.